GAGCAACCUGCCCUGGACUCUGGGAUAAGCGCUGGAAACGGUGUCUAAUACUGGAUAUGAGAUGUGAUCGCAUGGUCAUGUUUGGAAAGAUUUUUCGGUCUGGGAUGGGCUCGCGGCCUAUCAGCUUGUUGGUGAGGUAAUGGCUCACCAAGGCGUCGACGGGUAGCCGGCCUGAGAGGGUGACCGGCCACACUGGGACUGAGACACGGCCCAGACUCCUACGGGAGGCAGCAGUGGGGAAUAUUGCACAAUGGGCGGAAGCCUGAUGCAGCAACGCCGCGUGAGGGAUGACGGCCUUCGGGUUGUAAACCUCUUUUAGCAGGGAAGAAGCGAAAGUGACGGUACCUGCAGAAAAAGCGCCGGCUAACUACGUGCCAGCAGCCGCGGUAAUACGUAGGGCGCAAGCGUUAUCCGGAAUUAUUGGGCGUAAAGAGCUCGUAGGCGGUUUGUCGCGUCUGCUGUGAAAUCCCGAGGCUCAACCUCGGGUCUGCAGUGGGUACGGGCAGACUAGAGUGCGGUAGGGGAGAUUGGAAUUCCUGGU
RNAcentral lists this ribosomal RNA (541 nucleotides) under uncultured bacterium. RNAcentral's name for it is "bacterial SSU rRNA". It matches the Rfam family "Bacterial small subunit ribosomal RNA", at positions 119 to 674 of the family's 1533-position model. The record is from RNAcentral.